This 492-nucleotide ribosomal RNA is filed under the name uncultured bacterium. Its description in RNAcentral is "partial 16S ribosomal RNA". It matches the Rfam family "Bacterial small subunit ribosomal RNA", at positions 29 to 507 of the family's 1533-position model. The record is from RNAcentral.
AGUGAACGCUGGCGGUAGGCCUAACACAUGCAAGUCGAACGGCAGCACAGUAAGAGCUUGCUCUUACGGGUGGCGAGUGGCGGACGGGUGAGGAAUACAUCGGAAUCUACUUUUUCGUGGGGGAUAACGUAGGGAAACUGACGCUAAUACCGCAUACGACCUACGGGUGAAAGCAGUGGAUCUUCGGACCUUUCGCGAUUGAAUGAGCCGAUGUCGGAUUAGCUAGUUGGCGGGGUAAAGGCCCACCAAGGCGACGAUCCGUAGCUGGUCUGAGAGGAUGAUCAGCCACACUGGAACUGAGACACGGUCCAGACUCCUACGGGAGGCAGCAGUGGGGAAUAUUGGACAAUGGGCGCAAGCCUGAUCCAGCCAUACCGCGUGGGUGAAGAAGGCCUUCGGGUUGUAAAGCCCUUUUGCUGGGAAAGAAAAGCAGCAGGUUAAUACCCCGCUGUUCUGACGGUACCCAAAGAAUAAGCACCGGCUAACUUCGUG